Molecule: long non-coding RNA, 12377 nt
Organism: Homo sapiens (human)
Lineage: Eukaryota; Metazoa; Chordata; Mammalia; Primates; Hominidae
Exons: 2
Source: RefSeq, a predicted model, not a curated record
CACCAGGAGGUCUCUUGUAUCGUCUCUGUGAUCAGAUCACUACACGAUGAGGUGUCUUGGAUCAAACCUGAGGUGCAGGCACUGCACAAGGAGGUCUCUUGGAUCAUCCCUGAAGUGGCAGCACUACAUCAGAAGGUGUCUUGGAUCAUCCCUCAGGUGUGAACACUGCACCAGGAAGUGUCUUCAAUCGUGCCUGAGGUGUCAACACUGCACCAGGAGGUGUUUUUUAUCAUCCCUAAGGUGCAAGCACUGCACCAGGAGGUCUCUUGGAUUAUGCCUGAGGUUUGAACACUGCACCAGGAAGUGUCUUAUCAUCCCUAAAGUGUGAGCACUGCACCAGGACAUGUCUUGGGUCAUCCCUGAGGUGUGUGCACUGCACCAGGAGUUGUUUUGCAUUAUUCCUGAGGUCAGAGCACUGCAUCACAAGUGUCUUGGAUCAUGCCUGAUCAUGACUGACAAGCAAGUUUCUUAACUCAUUCCUGAGGAGGGAGUACUGUAACAGGGGGUAUCUUAGAUCAUGCCUGAAGUGUGAGUACUGCACCAGGAGGUAUCUUGAAUCAUCCCUGAGGUGGUAGCACUGCACCAGGAGGUGUCUUGGAUCAUCCCUGUGGGUUGAGCACUACACCAGGAGGUGGUUUGGAUCAUCCCCGAGGUGUGAGCACUGCACCAGGAAGUGUCUUGUAUUAUGCCUGAGUGUGAACACUGCACUAGGUGUUUUUUGGAUCAUUCCUAGGUGAGACCACUGCACCAGUAGGUAUCUCGGAUCAUGCCAGAGUUGUGAGCACUGCAUCAGGAGAUGUUUUGGAUCAUCCCUGAGGUGUGAGCACUGGAUUAGAAGGUGUCGUGGCUCAUGCCUGAGUGUGAGCACUGUACCAGGUGGUUUUUUAGGAUCAUCCUUAGGUGUGACCACUGCACCAGGAGGUAUCUUGGAUCAUGUCUGAGUGUGAUCACUGCACCAAGGGAUGUCUUAAAUCACAUCUGAGUUGUGAUCACUGCACCAAGAGGUGUCUUGGAGCAUCCCUGAGGUGUGAGCACUGCACCAGGAGAUGUCUUGGAUCAUGCCUGAGUUGUGACCACUGCACCAAGAGGUGUUUUGGAGCAUCCCUGAGGUGUGAGCACUGCAACAGGAGGUGUAUGAGUGUGAGUACCUCACGAGGAUGUACCUUGGAUCAUGUCUUAGUUCUGUGGGCACUGCAUUAGGAUGUGUUUUGGAUCACCCUUGAGGUGUGAGCACUGCACCAGGAAUUGUCUUGGUUCAUCCCUGAGAGUGAGCACUGCACCAGGUGUUUGGGGUCAUUUAUAAGGUGUGAGCACCACACCAGGAGGUUUGUUAUAUUAUGCCUGAGUGUGAGCACUGCAGCAGGAGGUAUUUUGAAUCAUGCCUGAGUUGUGAGCAUUGCAUCAGGAAGUGUUUUGGAUCUUCACUGAGGUGUGAGCACUGGACCAGGAGGUCUCAUGGAUCAUCCCUGAGUUGCGAGCAUUGCACCAGGAAGUGUCUUGGAGCAUCCCUGAGGUGGGAGCACUGCACCAGAAAGUGUCUUGCAUGUUGCAUCAUGCCUAAGGUAGGAGCACUACACCAGCAAGUGUCUUGGAUCUUUCCUGAGGUGGGAACACUUUACCAGGAGGUAUCUUGAAUCACCCCUAAGGAAAGAGCACCACACCAAAGGGGUCUUGGAUCAUCCCUGGGGAGGGAGCACUACUUCAGGAGGUGCCUUGGGUCAUCCUUGAGGUGUGAGCACUGCACAAAGAAGCAUCUUGUAUGAUGCCUGAGUGUGAGCACUGCACCAGGGGUUGUCUUGGAUCAUUCCUGAAGGUUGAGCACUGUACCAGCAGGUAUCUUGGAUCAUCUCAGAGGUGUGAGCAUUGCACCAGGAGGUGUCUUGGAUCAUUCCUGAGGUAGGAUCACUGCAUCCGGAAGUGCCUUGAAUCAUCCCUGAGGUGUGAGCACUGUAACAGAAGGUGUCUUGGAUUCUCCAUGAGGUGUGAGUCCUGCACCAGCAGGCAUCUUGAAUCAUCAGAAGAAAGAGCACUGCACCAAGAGGUGUCUUGGAUCAUCCCUGAGAUGUGAACAUUGCCCCUGCAAGUCUUAUCAUGCCUGAGGUGUGACCCAUGCACCAGGAGAUCUCUUGUAUUGAUGCUAAGGUGGGAUCACUGCACCAUGAGGUGUCUUGGAUCAAACCCGUGGUGCAGGCACUACACAAGGAGGUCUCUUGAAUCAUCCCUGAGGUGGCAGCACUACAUCAGAGGGUGUCUUGGAUCAUCCCUCAGGUGUGAACACUGCACAAGGAAAUGCCUUAAAUCAUGCCUGAGGUAUCAGCACUGCACCAGGAGGUGUCUUGCAUUAUUCCUAAGGUCAGAGCACUGCAUCGCAAUGUCUUGGAUUGUGCCUGAUCAUGUGUGACCAGCAAGUGUCUUAACUCAUCCCUGAGGAGGGAGUACUAUAACAGGGGUAUCUUGGAUUAUGCCUGAAGUGUGAGCAUGCACCAGGAGGUGUCUUGAAUCAUCCCUGAGGUGGAAGCACUGCACCAAGAGGUGUCUUGGAUCAUCCCUGUGGGUUGAGCACUACACCAGGAGGUGCUUUGGAUCAUCCCUGACGUGUGUGCACUGCACCAGGAAGUGUCUUGUAUUAUGACUGAGUGUGAACACUACACCAAGUGGUUUUUGGGAUCAUUCCUAGGUGUGACCACCACACCAGGAGGUAUCACGGAUCAUGCCAGAGUUGUAAGCACUGCAUCAGGAGAUGUUUUGGAUUAUCCCUGAGGUGUGAGCUUUGGACCAGGAGGUGUCUUGGAUCAUGCCUGAGUGUGAGCACUGCACCACAUGGUUUUUUUGGAUCAUCUGUAGGUGUGAGCACUGCACCAGGAAGUAUCUUGGAUCAUGUCUGAGUUGUGAUCACUGCGCCAGGAGGUGCCUUAAAUCAUGUCUGAGUUGUGAGCACUGCACGAAGAGGUGUUUUGGAGCAUCCUUGAGGUGUGAGCACUGCACCAGGAGGUGUUUUGGAACAUCCCUGAGGUGUGAACACUGCACCAGGAAAUGUCUGGGAUCAUCCCUGAGUGUGAGCACUGCACCAGGAGGUGUUUGGGGUCAUCCAUAAGGUGUGAGCACCACACCAGGAGGCUUGUUGUAUUAUGGCUGAGUGUGAGCACUGCACCAGGAGGUAUAUUCAAUCAUGACUAAGUUGUGAGCACUGGACCAGGAAGUGUUUUGGAUCAUCCCUGAGGUGUGAGCACUGGACCAGGAGGUCACCUGGAUCAUCCCUGAGUUGUGAGCCUGCAUCAGGUGGUUUUUUGGAUCAUACCUAGGUGUGAGCACUGCACCAGGAAGUAUCGCUGAUCAUGUCUGAGUUGUGAUCACUCACCAGGAGGUGUCUUAAAUAAUAUCUGAGUUGUGAUCACUGCACCAGAUGGUGUCUUGGAUCAUCGCUGAGGUGUGACCACUGCAGCAGGAAGUGUCUUGGAUCAUCGCUGUGGUGUGAGAACUGCACAAUGAGGUGUUUUCCAUCAUCCCUGAGGUGGGAGCACUGCACCGGGAAAUGUCUUGGAUCACCUCUGGGGAGAGAGUACAACUCCAGGAGGUGUCUUGGGUCAUCUUUGAGGUGUGAGCACACACCAAGAGGUGUCUUGGAUCAUUCCUGCAGGUUGAGCACUGUAUCAGCAGGUAUCUUGGAUCAUCUCAGAGGUGUGAGCACUGCACCAGGAGGUGUCUUGGAUCAUCCCUGAAAGUUGAGCACUGUACAAGCAGGUAUCUUGGAUCAUCUCAGAGGUGUGAGCAUUGCACCAGGAGGUGUCUUGGAUCAUCCCUGAGGUAGGAUCACUGCACUAGGAAGUGUCUUGAAUCAUCCCUGAGGUGUGAGCACAGUAACAGGAGGUGUCUUGGAUCCUCCCUGAGAUGUGAGCACUGCAGCAGGAGGUGUCUUCAAUCAUCAGAGGAAAGAGCACUACACCAAGAUAUGUCUUGGAUCACGUCUGAGGUGUGAUCGCUGUAACAAGAGGUGCCUUGAAUCAUCCCUGAGGUGUGAGCACUGUACCAAGACGUGUCUUGGAUCAUCCAGGAGGUGUGAGCACCUCACCAGGAUCAUCAUACCUGACGUGUGAACAUUUCACCCAGAAGUGGCUUAUGUCAUGCCUGAGGUGUGAUUCAUGCACCAGGAGGUGUUUUGUAUCAUCCCUGAGGUGCAGGCACUGUACCAGUAGGUCUCUUGGAUUAUGCCUAAGGUUUGAGCACUGCACCAGGAAGUGUCUUUUAUCAUCCCUGAAGUGUGAGCACUGCACAAGGAGGUGUCUUAAGUAAUCUCUGAGGUGGGAGCACUGCACAGGGAGGUGUCUUCAUUCAUCCCCCAGAAGGGACUACUGCACCAAGAGGUUUUUUGGAUAAUCCUGAGGAGGGAGCACUGCACCAGGAGGUAUCUUGGAUGAUAACUGAGUUUUAACCACUGCAGCAAGAAGUGCCUUAAAUAAUCUCUGAGGUGGAAACACUACACCAGGAGGUGUCUUGGAUCAUCCCUGAGGUGCAGACACUGCACCAGGAGGUCUGUAGGAUUAUCCCUGAGGUUUGAGCACUGCACCAGGAAGUGUCUUUUAUCAUCCCUGAGUUGGGAGCACUGCACCAGGAGGUGUAUUGGAUCAUCACUUAGGUGGAGCAUUGCACCUGCAAGUGCCUUGGAUCAUGCCUGACGUGUGAGCACUGCACCAGCAGGUGUCUUGGCUCAUCCCUGAGCAGGGAGUACUGCACGAGGAGGUGUCUUGUGUCACACCUGAGGUGUGAGCACUGUACCAGGAGGUGUCUAGGAUCAUCCCUGAAUUGUGAGAAGUGCACCAGGAGGUGUCAUGGAGCAUCCCUGAGGUGGGAGCACUGCACCAGGAAGUGGCUUGCAUGUUGCAUCAUCCCUGAGGUAGGAGCACUACACCAGCAGGUGUCUUGGAUCUUUCCAGAGGUAGGAGCACUUCACCAGGAGGUAUCUUGAAUCAACCCUAAGGUAAGAGCACUGCACCAAAGGGGUCUUGGAUCAUCCCUGGAGUGGGGGGAACACUACUCCAGGAGGUGUCUUGGGUCAUCCUUGAGGUGUGAGCACUGCACCAAAAGGUGUCUUGUAUUAUGCCUGAUUGUAUUAUGCCUGAGUGUGAGCAUUGCACUUGGGGGUGUCUUGGAUCAUUCCUGAAGUAGGAUCACUGUCUCAGGGAGUGUCUUGAAUCAUUCCUGAGGUGUAAGGAUUGUUACAGGAGAUGUCUUGAAUCAUCAGAGGAAAGACCACUACACCAAGUGGUGUCUUGGAUCAUCCCUGAGGUGUGAACUUUGCACCCGGAAGUGUCUUAUCAUGCCUGAGGUGUGACCCAUGUACCAGGAGGUCUCUUGUAUCAUCCCUGAGAUGGGAUCACACACCAUGAGGUGUCUUGGAUCAAAUCUGAGGUGCAGACGCUGCACAAGGAGGUCUCUUGAAUCAUCCCUGAGGUGGCAGCACUGCACCAGAAGGUGUAUUGGAUCAUCCCUCAGGUGUGAACACUGCACCAGGAAGUGUCUAAAAUCAUGCCUGAGGUGUCAGCACUGCACCAGGAGGUGUUUUUGAUCAUCCCUAAGGUGCAGGCACUGCACCAGGAGGUCUCUUGGAUUAUGCCUGAGGUUUGAGCACUGCAUCAGGAAGUGUCUUUUAUCAUCCCUGAUGUGUAAGCAUUGCACCAGGAGGUGUCUUGCGUCAUUCCUGAGGUGUGUACACUGCACCAGGAGUUGUUCUGCAUUAUUCCUGAGGUCGGAGCACUGCAUCACAAGUGUCUUGGAUCGUGCCUGAUGGUGCCUGACCAGCAAGUGUCUUAACUCAUCCCUGAGGAGGGAGUACUGUAACAGGUGUCUUGGAUCAUCCCUUGGAGUGCAGCACUACACCACCAGGUGCUUUGAAUCAUCUCUGAGGUGUGAGCAGUGCACCAGGAAGUGUCUUGUAUUAUGACUGAGUGUGAAUACUUCACCAGGUAGUUUUUUGGAUAAUUCCUAGGUGUGACCGCUGCACCAGGAGGUAUCUCGGAUCAUGCCAGAGUUGUGAGCACUGCAUCAGGAGAUGUUUUGGAUCAUCCCUGAGGUGUGACCACUGGACCAGGAGGUGUCUUGGAUCAUGCCUGAGUGUGAGCACUGUACCAGGUGGGUUUUUUGUAUCACCCCUAGGUGUGAGUACUGCAUCAGGAAGUACCUUUGAUCAUGUAUGAGUUGUGAUCACUGCACCAGGACAUGUCUUAAAUCAUAUCUGAGUUGUGAUCACUGCACCAAGAGGUGUUUUGGAGCAUCCCUGAGGUGUAAGCACUGCACCAAGAGGUGUCUUGGAUCAUGCCUGAGUUGUGACCACUCCACCAGGAUAUGUUUUGGAACAUACCUGAGGUGUGAGCACUGCACCAGGAGGUGUCUUAGAUUAUGCCUGAGUGUGAGCACCUCACCAGGAUGUACCUUGGAUCAUGCCUGAGUUUUGUGGGCACUGCACCAGGAUGUGUUUUGGAUAAUCCCUGAGGUGUGAGCACUGCACCAGGAAGUGUUUUGUAUUAUGCCUGAGUGUGAACACUGCACCAGGUGGUUUUUUGGAUGAUUCCUAGGUGUGACCACUGCACCAUCAUCAUGCCAGAGUUGUGAGCACUGCAUCAGGAGAUGUUUUGGAUCAUCUCUGAGGUGGGAUCACUGUACCAGGGGUGUCUUGAAUCAUCCCUGAGGGGUGAACACUGUGACAGGAGGUGUCUUGAAUCAUCCCUGAGGUAAGAGCACUGCACCAGGAGGUCUUUGGAUCAUCAUACCUGAGGUGUGAACAUUUCACCCAGAAGUGUCAUAUCAUGUCUGAGGUGUGACCCAUGCACUAGGAGGUGUUUUGUAUCAUGCCUGAGUUGUGACCACUGUACCAGAGGGUGUUUUGGAACAUCCCUGAGGUGUGAGCACUGCACCAGGUGGUGUCUUGGAUCAUCUCUGUAGUGUGAGAAUUACACAAAGAGGUGUUUUUAAUCAUCCCUGGGGUGAGAUCACUACACCAGGAAUUGUGUUGGAUCAUGCCUGAGUGUGAGCACUGCACCAGGAGGUAUUUUGAAUCAUGCCUGAGUUGUGAGCACUGCAUCAUGAGGUGUUUUGGAUCAUCCCUGAGGUGCAAGCACUGCACCAGGGGGUGUCUUGGAUCAUCCCUGAUGUGUGAGCACUGCACCAGGAGAUGUCUUGGAUCAUCCCUGAGGUGUAAGCACUGCACAAAGGACUGUCUUGUAUUAUUCCUGAGUGCAAACGCUGCACCAGGUGUCUUUUUGGCUCAUUCCUAGGUGUGACCACUGCACCAGGAGGUAUCUCAAGUCAUGCCAGAGAUGUGAGCACUGCAUUAGAAGAUGUUUUGGAUCAUCCCUAAGGUGUGAGCACUGGACCAGGAGGUCUCUUGGAUCAUCCCUGAGUUGAGAGCACUGUUCCAAGAGGUGUCUUGGAUCAUGCCUGAGUGUGAGCACUGCACCACGUGGUUUUUUUGGAUCAUCCCUAGGUGUGAGCACUGCACCAGGAGGUAUCUUGGAUCAUGUCUGAGUUGUGAUCACUGCACCAGGAGGUGUCUUAAAUCAUAUCUGAGUUGUGAGCACUGCACCAAGAGGUGUUUUGGAGCAUCCCUGAGGUGUGAGCACUGCAUGAGGUGGUGUCUUGGAUCAUCCCUGUAGUGUGAAAACUGCACAAGGAGGUAUUUUCCAUCAUCCCUAAGGUGGGAGCACUACACCAAGAAGUGUGUUGGAUAAUGCUUGAGAUGUGAGCACUGCACCAGGAGGUGUCUUAGAUCAUGCCUGAGUGUGAGCACCUCACCAGGAUGUACCUUGCAUGAUGCCUGAGUUGUGUGGGCACUGCAUCAGGAUGUGUUUUGGAUCACCCUUGAGGUGUGAGCACUGUACCAGGAAUUGUCUUGGAUCAUCCCUGAGUGUGAGCACUACACCAGGAGGUGUUUGGGGUCAUCCAUAAGGUCUCAGCACCGCACCAGGUUUCUUGUAUUAUGCCUGAGUGUGAGCACUGCACCAGGAGAUAUUUUGAAUCAUGUCUGAGUUGUGAGCACUGCAUCAGGAGGUAUUUUGGAUCAUCCCUGAGGUGUGAGCAUUGCACCAGGAGGUGUCUUGGAUCAUCCCUGAGGUGUGAACAUUGCACCCAGAAGUGUCUUAUGUCAUGCCUGCAGUGUGAGCACUGCACCAGGAUAUCUAGGAUCAUCCCUGAAUUGUGAGCACUAAACCAGGAGGUGUCUUGAUUCAUCCCUGAGGUGUGAGCACCUCACCAGGAGGUAUCUUGGAUCAUCCCUGAGAUGUGAACACCUCACCAGGAAGUGUCUUGGAUCAUGUCUGAGUUGUGAGCACUGCACCAGGACGUGUCUUAAAUCAUCUCUGAGGUUUGAGCACUACACCAGGAGGUGUCUUAAAUCAUGCUGAAAAGUGACCACUGCACCAGGAGGCAUCUUGGAUCAUGUCUCAGUUGCAACAGGAGGUGUCUUGGAUCAUCCCUGUGGUAUAAGCACUGCACCAGAAGGUGUCUUGGAUCAACCCUGGGAUGGAGGCAGUGCACCAGAAGGUGUCUUGGAUCAUCCCUGAUGUGGGAGCACUGCAUCAGGAGAUCUCUUGGAUCAUCGCUGAGGUGUGAGCACUGCACCAGGAGGUAUCUGGAAUGAUUUUUGAGGAGAGUGUAGCGCACCAGGAGGUAUCUUGGAUCUACCCUGAGGUGUGAGCACUGCAACAGGAAGUGUCUUGGAUCAUCCCUGAGGUGUGAGCACUGCAACAGGAUGUGUCCUCAAUCAUCCAUGAAGGGGGAUCACUGCACCAGGAGGUGUCUUGUAUCAUUGCUGAGGUGGAAGCACUGCACAAGGAAGUGUCUUAGAUCAACCUGACUUGUGAGCACUGCACCAGAAGGUGUCUUGGAUCAUUGCUAAGAUGCAAGCAAUGCACCAGCAGAUGUCUCAGAUCGUCCUUUAGGUGGGAGCGCUACACGAGGGGUGUCUUGGAUCAUCCCUGAGGAGGGAGCACUACACCAGGAGGUGUCUUGGAUCAUUUCUGAGGUGCAGGCACUGCAUCAUGAGGUGUCUUGGAUCGUCGCUGAAGUGUAAGCACUGCACCAGGAGGUGUUGUGAAUCAUCGCUGAGGUGUGAGCACUGCACCAGUAGGUGUCUUGGAUCAUCCUUGGGGUGUGAACAUUGCAUCAGGAGAUGUCUCAGAUCAUCCCUGAGGUGCAGGCACUGUACCAGGAGGUAUCUUGAAUCAUUUCUGAGGUGCAGGUGCUGCACCAGGUGUCUUGAAUCAGCCCUGAGGUGUGAGCACUACACCAGGAGGUGUCUUGAUUCAUCCCUGAGGUGUGAGCACUGCACCAGGUGUCUUGAUUCAUCUCUGAGGUGUGAGCACUGCACCAGGAGCUGUCUUGAAUAACUUCUGAGGUGUGACCAUUGUACCAGGAGGUGUCCUGUAUCAUCCCUGUGGAGGGAGCACUGCACCAGAAGGUGUAUUGGAUCAUCCCUGAAGUGUGAACACUACAUCAAAAGGCAUCACGAAUCAUCCCUAAGGCUUGAGCACUGCACCAGGAGGUGUCUUUGAUCAUGCCUGAGAUGUAUGCACUGCACUAGGAGGUGUUUUGGAUCAUCCCUAGGUGGGAGCACUACCCCAAGAGGAGUCUUGGAUCAUCUUUGAGGUGGGAGUACCACACCACGAGGUGUCUUGGAUCAUCCCUGAGGUGGAAGCACUGCACCAGGAGUUGUCUUGGAUCAUUCCUGAGGUGUGAGUACUGCACCAGGAGGUAUCUUGUAUCAUCCCCGAGGUCAGAGCACUACACCAGGAGAUGUUUGGAUCAAACCUGACAUGUAGGCACCGCACCAGAAGGUCUCUUGGAUGAUGCCUGAAUUGUCAGCACUGCACCAGGAAGUGUAUUUUAUCAUCCUUGAGGUCAGAACACUGCACCAGCAAGUGUCUUGGAUUCUGCCUAAGGUGUGAGCACUGCACAAGCAGUUGUCUUGGCUCAUCCCUAAGAAGGGAGUACUGUGCCAGGGGGUGUCUUGGAUUAUGCCUGAGUUGUGAGCACUGUAUCAGGAGGUGUCUUGGAUCAGCCCUGAAUUGUGAGCACUGCACAAGGAGGUGUCUUGGAUCAUCCCUGAGGUGGGAGCACUGCACCAGGAGGUGUCUUCAAUCAUCCCUGAGGUGUGAGCACUGCACCAGGAGAUGUCUUGGAUCAUCCCUGAGGUCACGCUGAUGCAAGAGGUGGGCUCCCAUGGCCUUGGACUGCUUCACCCCUGUGGCUUUGCUUUCACAAGAUGGCAUUGAGUGUCUGAGGCAUUUCCAGGUGCACAGUGCAAGCUGUCAGCGGAUCUACCAUUCUGGGGUCUGAAGGACGGUGGCCCUCCUCUCACAGUUCAACCGGGCAGCACCCCCAUGGGGACUCCCUGUGGGGGCUCCAAUCCCACAUCUCCCUUCUUCAAUGCCCUAGCAGAGGUUCUCCAUGAGGGCUUUGCCCCUACAGCAGACUUCUGCCUGUACAUCCAGGUAUUUCCAUACAUCCUCUGAAAUCUAAGCUGAGGUUCCCAAACCUCAAUUCUUGACUCCUGUACACCCACAGGUCCAAGACCACGUGUAAGCCACCAAGGCUUGGGGCUUGCACCCUCUGAAGCAACAGCCUGAGCUCUAUGUUGGCCCCUUGAGCCACAGCUGGAACUCACUAUCACCAAAUCCCUAUACUACACAAAGCAGCAAGGCCCUAGGCCUAGCCCGUGAAACCCUUUUUUCCUCCUAGGCCUCUGGGCCUGUGAUGGGAGGGACUGCUGUGAAGAACUCUGACAUGCCCUGGAGACAGUUUCCCCAUUGUCUUGGUGAUUAACAUUUGGCUUUUCGUUACUGAUGCAAAUUUAUCUAGCUGGCUUGAAUUUCUUCUCCAAAAAUGGGUUUUUCUUUUCUAUCGCAUCAUCAGGCUGCAAAUUUUCCUAAGUUUUAUGUUCUGGUUCCCUUUUAAACAUAAGUUUUAAUUCCAAACCAUAUAUUUGUGAGUACAUAAAACUGAAUGCUUUUAACAGCACCCAAGUCACCUCUUGAAUGCUUUGCUGCUCAGAAAUUUCUUCUGCCAGAUACCCUAAAUCAUCUCUCUCAAGUUCAAAAUUCCACAGAUCUUUAGGGCAAGGGCAAAAUACUGCCAGUCUCUUUGCUAAAAUGUAGCAAGAGUCACCUUUAUUCCAGUUCCCAAAAAGUUCUUCAUCUCCAUCUGAGACCACCUCAGCCAGGACUUCAUUGUCCACAUCACUAUCAGCAUUUUGGUCAAAACCAUUAAACAAGUCUCUAGGAAGUUCCAACUUUCCUGGAAGACAUCUUCCUGUCUUCUUCUGAGCCCUCCAAACUGUUCCAACCUCUGCCUGUUACCCAGUUCCAAAGUCACUUCCACGUUUUUUAGUAUCUUUAUAGCAGCGCCCCACUACCCAGUAUCAAUUUACUGUUUUAUUCCAUUCUCAUGCUGCUAUGAAGAACUGCCUGAGACUGGGUAAUUUAUAAAGGAAAGAGGUUUAAAUUACUCACAGUUCUGCAGGGCUGGGGACGCCUCAGGAAACUUACAAUCAUGGCAGAAAGCAAAGGGGAAGCGGGCACGUCUUCAUGUGUCUGGAGAAGGAGGAAGAGAGCAAAGAGGGAGGUGCCACACACUUUCAAACAACCAGGUCUCCUGAGAACUCAUUCACCAUCACAAGAAUGCAAGGGGGAAAUCUGCCCCCAUGAUCCAAUCACCUCCAACCAGCCCACUUCCCCAACACUGGGAAUUACAAUUCGACAUGAGAUUUGGUUGGGGACACAGAGCCAAACUAUAUCAGUGCUUAACCUCAUUUGAGUUGUCACACGCAACCAGGAGGCUUGAAUAACCCACUGCUUCCAGACUAGAUGGCUUUCUGUGUGACCCCAAGAGAGACUCCCAGCCUCUGCUGAUUCCUAUGUAAAGUAUGGGUUGGAACUGGAUGGUAUCGUAGGUUCCUUUAGCUCCGUAUGAUUCUCAUGUAAAAUUCCACCCAGCAGUCAGGCAAGAGGUGCACUGGGGAGAGGAGGUGGAACCCCCAGGUUGUUGAUAAAAUCCUGAAAUCCCUUGGCUCUGUGCUUCAAACAGCCACCUUCCCAACAUCUAUGACUCUUUGAACUGCUCAUAAAGAGCGCUGAUUAAUGUGACACUUCACAUGCCCACCAUGAAAUUAGGAAGGCCCUUAGAUCUCCUUCAAACCCGCGGUGCCGGUGCCUUCGCCCCAUCAAUCAGAGAUGAAACUGUGAUUGUGCUGCAAGGAGACGAGGCCAUCCUGGAGUUCUGCCAUGAAAGAAUCGCUGGGACUCAAAGGAGGGGAAAACAAGGGAAGGAGAGAGGGGGAAAGGGAAAGAGAAGCUGCUUCCAGAAGGAAUAAAUUUGUGUGUGUACUUUGA